RNAcentral lists this ribosomal RNA (1343 nucleotides) under uncultured bacterium. Its description in RNAcentral is "16S ribosomal RNA". It matches the Rfam family "Bacterial small subunit ribosomal RNA", at positions 28 to 1378 of the family's 1533-position model. The record is from RNAcentral.
GACGAACGCUGGCGGCGUGCUUAACACAUGCAAGUCGAACGGAAAGGCCCUGCUUUUGUGGGGUGCUCGAGUGGCGAACGGGUGAGUAACACGUGAGUAACCUGCCCUUGACUUUGGGAUAACUUCAGGAAACUGGGGCUAAUACCGGAUAGGAGCUCCUGCUGCAUGGUGGGGGUUGGAAAGUUUCGGCGGUUGGGGAUGGACUCGCGGCUUAUCAGCUUGUUGGUGGGGUAGUGGCUUACCAAGGCUUUGACGGGUAGCCGGCCUGAGAGGGUGACCGGCCACAUUGGGACUGAGAUACGGCCCAGACUCCUACGGGAGGCAGCAGUGGGGAAUAUUGCACAAUGGGCGGAAGCCUGAUGCAGCAACGCCGCGUGCGGGAUGACGGCCUUCGGGUUGUAAACCGCUUUCGCCUGUGACGAAGCGUGAGUGACGGUAAUGGGUAAAGAAGCACCGGCUAACUACGUGCCAGCAGCCGCGGUGAUACGUAGGGUGCGAGCGUUGUCCGGAUUUAUUGGGCGUAAAGGGCUCGUAGGUGGUUGAUCGCGUCGGAAGUGUAAUCUUGGGGCUUAACCCUGAGCGUGCUUUCGAUACGGGUUGACUUGAGGAAGGUAGGGGAGAAUGGAAUUCCUGGUGGAGCGGUGGAAUGCGCAGAUAUCAGGAGGAACACCAGUGGCGAAGGCGGUUCUCUGGGCCUUUCCUGACGCUGAGGAGCGAUAGCGUGGGGAGCGAACAGGCUUAGAUACCCUGGUAGUCCACGCUGUAAACGGUGGGUACUAGGUGUGGGGUCCAUUCCACGGGUUCCGUGCCGUAGCUAACGCUUUAAGUACCCCGCCUGGGGAGUACGGCCGCAAGGCUAAAACUCAAAGGAAUUGACGGGGCCCCGCACAAGCGGCGGAGCAUGCGGAUUAAUUCGAUGCAACGCGUAGAACCUUACCUGGGUUUGACAUGGAUCGGGAGUGCUCAGAGAUGGGUGUGCCUCUUUUGGGGUCGGUUCACAGGUGGUGCAUGGCUGUCGUCAGCUCGUGUCGUGAGAUGUUGGGUUAAGUCCCGCAACGAGCGCAACCCUUGUUCACUGUUGCCAGCACGUUAUGGUGGGGACUCAGUGGAGACCGCCGGGGUCAACUCGGAGGAAGGUGGGGAUGACGUCAAGUCAUCAUGCCCCUUAUGUCCAGGGCUUCACGCAUGCUACAAUGGCUGGUACAGAGAGUGGCGAGCCUGUGAGGGUGAGCGAAUCUCGGAAAGCCGGUCUCAGUUCGGAUUGGGGUCUGCAACUCGACCUCAUGAAGUCGGAGUCGCUAGUAAUCGCAGAUCAGCAACGCUGCGGUGAAUACGUUCCCGGG